CCCACUGGACCAUCUGUGUUGGUUUUGUGACAUUUUCCUUACGACAAAAAUCAUUGCUACCACUUCAAGAUGAAGAGAGAACAGCUUCUCAGCAUCUGGAACUCUGGUCACUAAAAUGUCCUUCAUGAGAAACAACAAGGACACAUUUCAUCCUGACCUCUAUUUUAAGGAUCAGUUAAGAGAUCAAAAACUGAAGGAAACAAAUGAACUCCUAAUGAAUGCAGUUUGAGG
Long non-coding RNA from Lynx canadensis (Canada lynx), 231 nucleotides. RefSeq lists it as uncharacterized. The record is from RefSeq and is a predicted model, not a curated record. The transcript is spliced from 3 exons. NCBI's taxonomy places the organism in Eukaryota, Metazoa, Chordata, Mammalia, Carnivora, Felidae.